Molecule: ribosomal RNA, 449 nt
Filed under: uncultured bacterium
Lineage: Bacteria
Description: partial 16S ribosomal RNA
Rfam family: Bacterial small subunit ribosomal RNA
Source: RNAcentral
AGCGAACGCUGGCGGCAGGCCUAACACAUGCAAGUCGAACGGGCUCUUCGGAGCUAGCGGCGGACGGGUGAGUAACACGUGGGAACGUGCCUUUAGGUUCGGAAUAAGCCCGGGAAACUGGGUCUAAUACCGAAUGUGCCCUUCGGGGGAAAGAUUUAUCGCCUUUAGAGCGGCCCGCGUCUGAUUAGCUAGUUGGUGAGGUAAUGGCUCACCAAGGCGACGAUCAGUAGCUGGUCUGAGAGGAUGACCAGCCACAUUGGGACUGAGAUACGGCCCAAACUCCUACGGGAGGCAGCAGUGGGGAAUCUUGCGCAAUGGGCGAAAGCCUGACGCAGCCAUGCCGCGUGGAUGAUGAAGGUCUUAGGAUUGCAAAAUCCUUUCACCGGUGAAGAUAAUGACUGUAGCCGGAGAAGAAGCCCCGGCUAACUUCGUGCCAGCCGCCGCCGUAA